Molecule: transfer RNA, 72 nt
Filed under: Loxodonta africana (African savanna elephant)
Lineage: Eukaryota; Metazoa; Chordata; Mammalia; Proboscidea; Elephantidae
Rfam family: tRNA
About the family: Transfer RNA (tRNA) molecules are approximately 80 nucleotides in length. Their secondary structure includes four short double-helical elements and three loops (D, anti-codon, and T loops). Further hydrogen bonds mediate the characteristic L-shaped molecular structure. tRNAs have two regions of fundamental functional importance: the anti-codon, which is responsible for specific mRNA codon recognition, and the 3' end, to which the tRNAs corresponding amino acid is attached (by aminoacyl-tRNA synthetases). tRNAs cope with the degeneracy of the genetic code in two manners: having more than one tRNA (with a specific anti-codon) for a particular amino acid; and 'wobble' base-pairing, i.e. permitting non-standard base-pairing at the 3rd anti-codon position.
Source: Rfam by way of RNAcentral
GCCUUGGUGGUGCAAUGGUUACGCACUCAGCUGCUAACUGAAAGGUUGGUGGUUUGAAUCCACUCAGCAGCU